ACAGAGCCCCCGAUUCCCCUCAUCUCUCCCAGAUCGCCGCCACACCUCCCUCCUCCGAUCCACCUCGCCGCCGGCCCUUCCCUUCCCCUCAUCCCACCGCGCAGCUCCGGCGGCUGCUGGAUCCAUCGCAUCCCCCACCCACCCAUCCCUCUCGCGUCCGAUCUCUAGCUCUCUUCACGCGCCUCCUCGCCAUCUGCGACCGCUAAUUCAGGCGACGUCCGGCGAAUCCCGCCAUCACGAAGCAUAGCCCGAGGUCCCCAUCGAAACGCGGCGCCGUCCCAUGCGACUAGAUCCGCUGCUCACGGCUACCCCUGCCCUGGCAAGGGUUUCGGCCGUCGGCUCCGGCGCCGGUGGCCAGGUCGUCCUCCUCUGGUACUCCUCUCUUCCGACGUGCAGGGAGGAACAGGCUGCGUAUGAACUCCAUCGUGACGCUACUGACGGUGAUGUCAAUGGACGAGAUGUGCCUCGGCGUCGACGAGCAUGCACUGAGGCGGGAAGUGGAAAAGGAAUACAUCGCCAAGCGAACUCAAUGGUACGAUGCUGGAGGUGGAAGACGUGGCCAACAUGGCGCUGUAUGUCGAGUCGGACGAGGCUAGUGGCGGAGCGUGGCAAGAAGUGAAGAAACCAAGAGGGGGCCAUUUUUUUAAAAACAAAAUACGCAUUACUAGGAGCAGUGUCAGCUGAUGGUUCAUUCUUUUUCAACACUGCUCACAAACAGAAGUAGACGAGUAUAUGGAGGUGUUAUUUUUCAACCGGAAGUAUAGCUGCUACUCACGUAUGCAAGAACGACAGACAAAUUAUUUCCAGCCAUAAUUCAAGAAAACCAAGACUGUAAUGGAGUAUAGAAUAAAAGCAUGCAAAAUGAGUACUUCGGAGUCAUGCGUUGUGGAUCAAGGCAUUGACACAGCCGACCCGCCGGCAGCGACAUGCCUCGUCGAUCAAAGGCAUUGGCACAGCCAACCGGCCUGCAGCAAUGUCGAGCACGACGGUCACCACGUCGCGGCCUGAGGGACAUUCUCAAUGUGUUGAUCUCGCCGCCGAAGGAGCAGAGACAAUUGGUGCGGCACAAGGUCGCGACCGCGACGACCCUGCAGCCCGCGCACACGAGGUCAAGGGCUUGAUGCAGGACUCAUUGCCGAUACUGGAGGAGGCGCCAUGGCAGCACCAAUAGGUCUUGCAGCAUGCUACACGGUAGCUCUCAAACUGCGCAGAGUCAAGAUUGAUGCUAUGGUACCAUUAAUGAUUCCAGCUGAAGAUAUUUGCAACCUGGAGUGUUACACAAGUUUACUAUUGUGCCAAUGUGUCAUCAUGUGUUUCCAUGAUUUUUGCAAACCUUUAAUAUAUCCCCGGGUUCCUUUUCUUCUAUGCUAGAAUUGGUUUGGAAAAACUGUAUGCAACUAUGGCCAUGAAAUUGUAUUAAGAAUUAUGCAAGGAGUGAGUCAUCAUUUCUUGAAUGGGUUUGCAGUUCUAGCUCUUUGUAUACCACACAAUAUUGUGUCAUGUCUUGAUAUUAUUAUAACUUUAAUAUGAUCCAAACACACACAACUUCCUACAGAAAACUUACUAUGAAUUUCCUUUUGGCAACGUUUAUGAAACACAAAUGAAGUAAGAUGCCAGAAAUCAAUUGAAGAAAUUGAUGGAAAUUAGUAGAAAAUUAUCUUUCUAACAUUUCAGUAUUACCAAACUGAUUCUAAUGAGAAUAGUAGAUUUGUAUACGCCAUACAGUAGGGUGUGGAUUCAUUCCUUAAGGCUGGCUUAUAAUUAUGUUCUAAUUAUAGUUUCUGUGUCAGCCCAUUCUCAUUCAUUGUAUACUUUUAAUGAUAACAGAGCGGCUUCUUUUAUAAAUUCUUAGCUUCUUUUAUAGAUUCUUAGUUACUCAUGUAUGCAGGUCAGCAUCAAGGCUAUGAAGCGAAAGAUCAGAUAAAGGUUUUUGCCAUGUUUGUCCUUCAGCUUAGUAACUAUUCAAAAGAUAUAUGGCUGAUUAUAUGGUUGCGUGGCAAGAAUACUGCAAUGAUGAUGAUGGUGUUCUACUGUUCUGGUUCAUGAUGAUGAUGAUAAUGACGACAGACGCUUUUAGUUGUAGCUAAGUUGUAGGGAUGUUGUUCCUGUUGGAUGAUGUUCGUGUUCCUCAGUUAAGUUUUUGUUAAGUUGUAGGGAUGUUGAUGGAUGCUUUCAGUUUAAGUUUUAAUGUCAAGAAAAUAUUUAGAUUAUGUAUCACAAUUGGAUGAAGUUCCUCAUGUAAUAUCUACUAUUGUAAUCCAGCAGUUCUAUCCAAUAUAUGAUUUCGGAUUU
Molecule: RNA transcript, 2292 nt
Organism: Triticum dicoccoides
Lineage: Eukaryota; Viridiplantae; Streptophyta; Magnoliopsida; Poales; Poaceae
Exons: 5
Source: RefSeq, a predicted model, not a curated record